This is a long non-coding RNA of Myotis myotis, 398 nucleotides long. RefSeq lists it as uncharacterized. The transcript has 3 exons. Lineage: Eukaryota; Metazoa; Chordata; Mammalia; Chiroptera; Vespertilionidae. The record is from RefSeq and is a predicted model, not a curated record.
GUUAAUUUAGCCAAAACCACAGGAAAGUGGUAUGUCGAUGCAGUAAAGCAGGAGAGAGAGAGAGAGCCUCAUGCUGGGAGGCUGGAGACCUGCGUGUUAGGCUUUGCAAUUCCCAGCCGUCCAGCCUUGGGCGAAUCAUCCUUCCUGGGUCUCACUGUCUCCAUUUGUAAGAUGAGAGGGAGAGCUCAGAGGCUGGAAACUGAAAUGUACAAGGGAUCCCGCAGGUCUUCUUUUAUGUGAGUUGCUUAUACUGAGGUCCAAAAGAUGAAAUAUUCCAAAGGAUGGAAUCUCAGGAAAUGUGGGCUCAGGUGCCUCCUGUAUGCCUGGACCUCAGUAGAGGACCUAGCUGCCAUGCUCCAAGGGACUCGGGGACUUGGUAUACUUGGCAUCAGACAGCU